Molecule: ribosomal RNA, 397 nt
Filed under: uncultured bacterium
Lineage: Bacteria
Description: bacterial SSU rRNA
Rfam family: Bacterial small subunit ribosomal RNA
Source: RNAcentral
AUUGAACGCUGGCGGCAUGCCUUACACAUGCAAGUCGAACGGCAGCACGGGAGCAAUCCUGGUGGCGAGUGGCGAACGGGUGAGUAAUAUAUCGGAACGUGCCCGGUCGUGGGGGAUAACGUAGCGAAAGCUACGCUAAUACCGCAUACGAUCUACGGAUGAAAGCGGGGGAUCGCAAGACCUCGCGCGAUUGGAGCGGCCGAUAUCAGAUUAGGUAGUUGGUGAGGUAAAGGCUCACCAAGCCGACGAUCUGUAGCUGGUCUGAGAGGACGACCAGCCACACUGGGACUGAGACACGGCCCAGACUCCUACGGGAGGCAGCAGUGGGGAAUUUUGGACAAUGGGCGCAAGCCUGAUCCAGCAAUGCCGCGUGCAGGAUGAAGGCCUCGGUGUAACU